AGAGUUUGAUCAUGGCUCAGAACGAACGCUGGCGGCGUGGAUAAGACAUGCAAGUCGAACGGGACUAUUUCUAGUAGCAAUACCGGGAAUAGUUUAGUGGCGAACGGGUGCGUAACACGUGGGCAACCUGCCAAGAAGUGGGGGAUAGCUCGCCGAAAGGNNAAUUAAUACCGCAUGUGAUCAGGAAAGACAUCUUCCCAAAAUUAAAGUCGGGGCAACCUGACGCUUCUUGUGGGGCCCGCGGCCUAUCAGCUUGUUGGUGAGGUAACGGCUCACCAAGGCGGUGACGGGUAGCUGGUCUGAGAGGACGACCAGCCACACUGGGACUGAGACACGGCCCAGACACCUACGGGUGGCAGCAGUCGAGAAUUUUUCUCAAUGGGGGAAACCCUGAAGGAGCGACGCCGCGUGGAGGAUGAAGGUCUUCGGAUUGUAAACUCCUGUCAUUUGGGAACAAUGCGUGACGGUUAACUGCCGUCACGUUGAUAGUACCAGAAGAGGAAGAGACGGCUAACUCUGUGCCAGCAGCCGCGGUAAUACAGAGGUCUCAAGCGUUGUUCGGAUUCAUUGGGCGUAAAGGGUGCGUAGGCGGCGCGGUAAGUCGGGUGUGAAAUCUCGGGGCUUAACUCCGAAACUGCAUUCGAUACUGCCGUGCUUGAGGACUGGAGAGGAGACUGGAAUUUACGGUGUAGCAGUGAAAUGCGUAGAUAUCGUAAGGAAGACCAGUGGCGAAGGCGGGUCUCUAGACAGUUCCUGACGCUGAAGUACGAAGGCCAGGGGAGCAACGGGAUUAGAUACCCCAGUAGUCC
RNAcentral lists this ribosomal RNA (809 nucleotides) under uncultured bacterium. Its description in RNAcentral is "bacterial SSU rRNA". It matches the Rfam family "Bacterial small subunit ribosomal RNA", at positions 8 to 796 of the family's 1533-position model. The record is from RNAcentral.